GCGCGCCGGGGGGGGGGAUGGGCGGGCCUUCGGGUUGUAAACCUCUUUCAGUUGGGAAGAAGCGAAAGUGACGGUACCUGCAGAAGAAGCACCGGCUAACUACGUGCCAGCAGCCGCGGGUAAUACGUAGGGUGCGAGCGUUAUCCGGAAUUAUUGGGGGUAAAGAAGUUGUAGGCGGUUUGUCGCGUCUGUCGUGAAAGUCCGGGGCUUAACCCGGGAUCUGCGGUGGGUACGGGCAGAUUAGAGUGCAGUAGGGGAGACUGGAAUUCCUGGUGUAGCGGUGGAAUGGGCAGAUAUCAGGAGGAACACCGAGGGCGAAGGCAGGUCUCUGGGCUGUAACUGACGUUGAGGAGCGAAAGCAUGGGGAGCGAACAGGAUUAGAUACCCUGGUAGUCCAUGCCGUAAACGUUGGGCACUAGGUGUGGGGACCAUUCCACGGUUUCCGCGCCGCAGCUAACGCAUUAAGUGCCCCGCCUGGGGAGUACGGCCGCAAGGCUAAAACUCAAAGGAAUUGACGGGGGCCCGCACAAGCGGCGGAGCAUGCGGAUUAAUUCGAUGCAACGCGAAGAACCUUACCAAGGCUUGACAUGUUCUCGAUCGCCGUAGAGAUACGGUUUCCCCUUUGGGGCGGGUUCACAGGUGGUGCAUGGUUGUCGUCAGCUCGUGUCGUGAGAUGUUGGGUUAAGUCCCGCAACGAGCGCAACCCUCGUUCCAUGUUGCCAGCACGUAGUGGUGGGGACUCAUGGGAGACUGCCGGGGUCAACUCGGAGGAAGGUGAGGACGACGUCAAAUCAUCAUGCCCCUUAUGUCUUGGGCUUCACGCAUGCUACAAUGGCCGGUACAAUGGGUUGCGAUACUGUGAGGUGGAGCUAAUCCCAAAAAGCCGGUCUCAGUUCGGAUUGGGGUCUGCAACUCGACCCCAUGAAGUCGGAGUCGCUAGUAAUCGCAGAUCAGCAACGCUGCGGUGAAUACGUUCCCGGGCCUUGUACACACCGCCCGUCAAGUCACGAAAGUCGGUAACACCCGAAGCCGGUGGCCUAACCCUUGUGGGGGGAGCCGUCGAAGGUGG
Molecule: ribosomal RNA, 1069 nt
Filed under: Micrococcus luteus
Lineage: Bacteria; Bacillati; Actinomycetota; Actinomycetes; Micrococcales; Micrococcaceae
Description: bacterial SSU rRNA
Rfam family: Bacterial small subunit ribosomal RNA
Source: RNAcentral